Molecule: long non-coding RNA, 1428 nt
Filed under: Takifugu rubripes (torafugu)
Lineage: Eukaryota; Metazoa; Chordata; Actinopteri; Tetraodontiformes; Tetraodontidae
Description: lncRNA (ENSTRUG00000030329.1)
Source: RNAcentral
UUCGUUAACACUGAGAAGAAUAUUGACAAGUGUCCACUGUGAAUGUUGCUGCAGCAAAUUAACCUUCUAUUCACUUGUAAUAAAUUGAUACAUUUAAUAUAAGAUCAUUUGAUAAAUUAAAAUGUAACUUUUGCAUUAGACAAAAGCAACAUUAACACCAACAAAGGCUCCAGUCGGGCUUGAUAUCAAAUGAGAUGUUGGGAGGAGUGAUUGUUGCUCAUGUUUCCGCAUUCCCGAGUCUUUGUUCCGGCGCAGCUCGCUGAGGGCCGGCGCUGGUUCAGGUGCCACCUUCUAUAAAAGGAGCAGCAGGUGAGAGCUGCCGAUGCGGAGUUGCUGCCCAGUUCGCUGAGAGUUCAUCGCUCUCACUCUCAAAGGUUUGGACCCAUUUGAAAUCAGAACAUCUCAACUUUGUCUCCAGCUUCAGGAGCUGAAGUUCUGAGAUGUUUCGUCACGGUAAAUGAGUCAGUUAAACCCUUUUUCCUGAAAUGUAAAUCCAGUAUUUGACAUUAAAUUUGGACUUAAUUCAGGUGGGGGCUGUGGCCAAGGGGGCCACGGGGGCCACGGGUGCCACGGGGGCCACGGCCAUGGGGGCCACGGCCAUGGGGGCCACGGGGGCCACGGGUGCGGGUCUGGACCUGGACCUGGACACUGCCAUGGGGGACCCAAACGCAGGAGAAGGAACAAGAGAGGCCACAAGCACAGGAAGUGUCACAAGAAGGGGAAGGACUGUCAUGGGUCAUCCAGCAGCUCCUGCAGCAGCAGCAGCGACUCAGACUAGAUGAAGCCCGGUUGAAGGGAGCAGAACCAGAACACCUGGACGCCUUCCUUCAUCUGCUGACCUUUUUCUUCAUUUUGUCCUAAAAGCCCAUAACAUGUUCUUGGUCCAAAAUCUGUAAAACAUUCAUUUUAUCUGAUUGUGUAUGACCUUGGAUUAAACGAGAGAUUCAAAAUUGUGUUUCUUCUUUGACUCCCUAAAUAUCCGAGCAAAAGAAGUUAAUUUUUUUUAAAUUUUAUUGGGUGAAUUGACGUGAUAAGUUGUGGGUGUGGUUCUUACUUCGACCACUAGAUGGACAUAAAGAGGCGCGUGUUUUAAAGAGUGUUGACCAGAAUCCAUCAGCGAUCAGACAUAAAUCGGAAUAAAUCUGAUCAGAUUAUGUGAUUCUGCCUGGAUGAAAUGUUGGCUGACAGGUUUGUCCAUCCAUCCAUCCAUCCAUUCUCUACCGCUUAUCCGGGUCGGGUCGCGGGGGUAGCAGCCUAAGGAGAGAAGCCCAGACUUCCCUCUCCCCAGCCACCUCCUCCAGCUCAUCCGGAGGGAUCCCCAGGCGUUCCCAGGCCAGUCGAGAGACAUAGUCUCUCCAACGUGUCCUGGGUCUCCCCGGGGGUCUCCUACCGGAGGGACAUGCCCUGAACACCUCACCAGGGAGGCGU